Molecule: ribosomal RNA, 433 nt
Filed under: uncultured bacterium
Lineage: Bacteria
Description: partial 16S ribosomal RNA
Rfam family: Bacterial small subunit ribosomal RNA
Source: RNAcentral
AACGAACGCUGGCGGCAUGCCUAACACAUGCAAGUCGAACGAGACCUUCGGGUCUAGUGGCGCACGGGUGCGUAACGCGUGGGAACCUGCCCUUAGGUUCGGAAUAACUCCCCGAAAGGGGUGCUAAUACCGGAUAAUGUCUUCGAACCAAAGAUUUAUCGCCUUUGGAUGGGCCCGCGUUGGAUUAGCUAGUUGGUAGGGUAAAAGCCUACCAAGGCGACGAUCCAUAGCUGGUCUGAGAGGAUGAUCAGCCACACUGGGACUGAGACACGGCCCAGACUCCUACGGGAGGCAGCAGUGGGGAAUAUUGGACAAUGGGCGAAAGCCUGAUCCAGCAAUGACGCGUGAGUGAUGAAGGCCUUAGGGUUGUAAAGCUCUUUUACCCGGGAUGAUAAUGACAGUACCGGGAGAAUAAGCUCCGGCUAACUCCGUG